Meriones unguiculatus (Mongolian gerbil) is the source of this 3682-nucleotide long non-coding RNA. RefSeq lists it as uncharacterized. The transcript is spliced from 2 exons. Lineage: Eukaryota; Metazoa; Chordata; Mammalia; Rodentia; Muridae. The record is from RefSeq and is a predicted model, not a curated record.
UCACCUGAAAGAGGCGGAAGUGAGCAGCGGUGAGCGGGUGAGUCCUGACAGUCCCCCUGGGAGAGCAAAGAGUCCUCACCUCCACCUUGCCUCUCCCAGCACUGAGCAGUCCCUUACUUUAAGCACCCGCUAGGGGGCGCACUUUUUGGGCCAUGCCCAUUACCAUAACCACGAGGAGAUCAUGGUUUGCGUCCUUCAAUCCCAUAGGAGUUUGGCUUGGGAGGAAUUUUUCACAGCUCAGAAGCGGGGAGGGGCCUCCCUGGCACACCUCAUACAGUAGGUGGAGGCUACCCCAGCCAGGACAGAUAGCUGGCCAGUUCUACACCUGGCACCUGUGCCUCUGCUUGUGCCCAGCCCCACCUUUCUUUUUUCUUUCUUUUUUUUCUUAAGAUGUAUUUAUUUAUUAUGUAUAUAGUGUUCUGCCUGCAUGUGUGCCUACACGCCAGAAGAGAGCACCAGAUCUCAUUACAGAUGGUUGUGAGCCACCACGUGUCUGCUGGGACUUGAACUCGGGACCUCUGGAAAGGCAGUCAGUGCUCUUAACCUCUGAGCCAACUCUCCAGCCCUUCGACCCUUCUUAAGGCCCCACCUGGUUGGAGUUGGAGAAGGCAUACAAUGCCAGUGGCUUCUCCCGUUUGUUGAUGAAGUUGAUGGCCUCAUCCAGACUCCUCACGGUCACCAAAGGCAGGAUGGGCCCAAAGAUCUCUUCCUGCAUCACAGGCUCUGUCUCCUGCACAUCUACCAGCACUGUGGGGGCUGUGGACAAAGGAAGAAACAGCCUUGCUUGUUAUCAGGGCUUGGAUGGAAACAAGGCUCUGGACUAGGAAGUCUCGGGAUCUGACCUCUCAGGACUCUGAGUGUCCAGGGACCUGGCCUCAUGGGGCAAUGAAAAAAGAAUGGAAGUUUAAGCUCAUGAAACUGGGGUCCCAGCUCAGUAAGCCUAAAGCUGUGGGGCCUAAGGUUGGAACUGAGGAGUCACAGGCUUAGCAACAGUUAUGGCACCACAAUCACCGGUGAACUCAAGAACACAAGGACUCGCGUUGGAGAUCACACUCAGGGUCCAACAGGGCCCUCUCCAGAAUGGAAGGGUCUCAGCCCAGGUGGGCUGUGGGCCAGCGAAGGGCAGGAGACUCACCAAUGUAGCGCUCUCCCUCAUCGCUCUGGCCACCGAUGGCCACGCGGCCACAGCCCAGCAGUCCCUGGAGACGCUUGAAGUGUUUCUGGUUGAUGAUUCGGCCCAGGUUGGGGGAGGUCUGCGGGUUGUCUCCGUAGAAACGUGUGAUGGCAUUCUGCAGGGCAGGCAGCAGCCUCUCCUGCAUCUCCUGGCUGCACAGGAUGUAGUCGGGGGCCACACAGGUCUGGCCAGCAUUGAAGUAGCGGAACCAGGCCACCCGGUUGGCCACAGUCUGGGGGUCACAGCUGUCAUCCACGUAGCAGGGGUUCUUACCCCCCAGCUCCAGGGUGACGGGCGUCAGGUGCUCGGCUGCGGCGGCCAUGACGAUCUUGCCUACCCGAGGGCUCCCUGAGGGCAUGGCCAAGAGGCACCAUCCUCACCUGGUCAGCUGGUCUAGGCAGGAACUUUGACCUUCUCUCUCCACAGAGACCUUCCCCAGCCCGACUUCUGGGCUGCUCCACCUACCUCCUAGAGUCUAUCUCCAUCCUGGCCACCCCAGAUUCUCCAAGAUCCUCAGGAGUCCUGGACAGCCACCCUCAGGGACACCUGUACCUCUUGACUCAUUCCCUACCCUGGCCUGUGGCCUCAUCCCCCAAGUCCUUCACAGACAUUCUCCGCUGUCCCCCAUCCCCAGGAUCCUGGCCAGGGCUGCCCUCACCUGUGAAGAAGAUAUAGUCAAAUUUGUGUUUCAGCAGCUGCCCGGUCUCCUCGGGCCCACCCAGCACCACAGCAAAGCAGCUCUGCAAGGCAGGACGAGAACUCAGGAGGCAGACCCAGGGCAGGGGGACCUCCCCACUGGCUGGGACAGGGGUGUGGGGCUGCCCACCUGGUCCAGGUACUGGGGCAGCAGCUCUGCCAGCACCUUCUCUGUGUUCUUGCUUAUUUCUGAUGGCUUCAGUACCACACAGUUCCCUGCAGGAGCCAAUGGGGAAGCAGAGAGGGGAUGCUGGUGCCUGCACCCUCCGGGGAACUCCGGAUGCCCUCUUUGGGAAGGACUGUCAGACUGUGGGGGCCCAAAAGCCCACUCACCUGCAGCGAUGGCUCCCACUAAGGGCAUGAUCAUCAAGUUCAAAGGAUAAUUCCAGGGUGCAAUGAUAAGCACCAGGCCAAAGGGCUCCUUCCGGAUGAAGGCUGAGCUCAGCUUCGUGAGCUAGGAUGCAGGGGGAUAGUCAGUGCCUAGGGAGUAACAGUCACACACACACACACACACACGUCCUCACAUCCCUGUGUAAUGGAGUCCCCAAAUGAGAAGACUGUUUUACUUUGGUCUCAAGGGCAGGAAGGGGCCUGGGGCCGGCUGUUUCCAUGCCCUGCCAUCCCUCUGACACCUUCACCCACCGUGACGCAGCCAACGGGGCUCACCAAGUUGGUGGACACAGACUCGUCCUUCAUCCAGGUCUGCAGGCUCUUGAGGGCCAGGUCCACCUCAUUCUGGCACAGGAUGAUCUCACUCAUGUCUGACUCGAAGGCUGACUGUGGGGAGAGCAGGUUCAAGGCUGGGCUGGGCUCUACCACUUGGAUAGGGCAUGAGGCAGCCCCCUUGAGCACAUAUGUGAACAGUGUAAGGACAGCAUGGUGGUCCCAUGGCGACUGCAGUUCUGGAGCGCCACUGCUUGGCUUUGAGACUUUGGGAGAGCGGCGUAACCCAAGUGCUUCAAUUUCCCUAUUGGUGACCUGAGAACAGCUAACAAACACCUGGAGAUUCGCUCCUCCUCAAGCGCACACGGUCUCAUAGAGGAUGUGGCGCCUCUUGGGAAGGGCACAGCUGCUCUAGAUGUCCCUGCCAUCCCCCCGCAGUACCUUGCCCACGUCCUUAGCCAGGGCAUCCUGCAGCAGCUGCUUGUUGUCCUGCAAGAAACGGCCCAGGCCCUGCAGCUGUGCUGCCCGGAACUCAGCAGGCCGUGUCUGCCCUGCACUGAAGGCCUCCCGCAGCCUCCGCAGUGUGUCCUCAGGAGGGUCCACCCUGGAGGAUGGGGCAGUGGUCAUUGGUGGCCUGUGUCCCACUCAACCUUUGGGGAGAGCUUCAGCAGCCCCAGAGGCUGAAGCAGGCCCCCAGUACACGUCAUUCACACCCACUUUCCCAUUCCCCUUCCCCCAAGUUUCUAACCUCCUACCCUGAGUUUCCUCUAAUGGGGAGCUGGAGGGAUGGUCAGCAGUUAAGAAUAUUGGCUAUUCUUACAGAGGACCUGGGUUCGAUUCUUACCAACCACAUGGCAGCUCACAACUGUCUGUAGUUCCCGAUCCAGGAGAUCUGACACCUUAUAUGCAGACAUACAUGUAGGAAAAAAACACUAAUGCACGUAAAAUAAAAGGAAAUAAAUUGUUUGGGACUGGAGAGAUGGCUCAGAGGUUAAGGGCAUUGACUGUCCUUUCAAAGUUCAAUUCCCAUUGACCGCAUGGUGGCUCAUAACCAUCUGUAAUGAGAUCUGGUGCCCUCUUCUGGUGUGCAGGUGUACAUGUAGGCAGAACAUUGUAUACAUAAUAAAUAAAUGUUUUUUUUAAGCCUCA